Molecule: ribosomal RNA, 1677 nt
Filed under: Pseudoalteromonas carrageenovora
Lineage: Bacteria; Pseudomonadati; Pseudomonadota; Gammaproteobacteria; Alteromonadales; Pseudoalteromonadaceae
Description: partial 23S ribosomal RNA
Rfam family: Bacterial large subunit ribosomal RNA
Source: RNAcentral
UGCUGGAGGUAUCAGAAGUGCGAAUGCUGACAUGAGUAACGAUAAUGCGGGUGAAAAACCCGCACGCCGGAAGACCAAGGGUUCCUAUCCCAUGUUAAUCAGGGUAGGGUAAGUCGACCCCUAAGGCGAGGCCGAAAGGCGUAGUCGAUGGGAAACGGAUUAAUAUUUCCGUACUUGGUAUAAUUGCGAUGGGGGGACGGAGAAGGCUAAGCAAGCAUGGCGAUGGUUGUCCAUGUGAAAGUGAGUAGGGCGUUUGUUUAGGUAAAUCCGGACGAACAUUAAACCUGAGACACGAGACGAGCCACCAAGGUGGUGAAGUUGUUGAUGCCAUACUUCCAGGAAAAGCCUCUAAGCUUCAGAUUAUACCGAAUCGUACCCCAAACCGACACAGGUGGUCAGGUAGAGAAUACUAAGGCGCUUGAGAGAACUCGGGUGAAGGAACUAGGCAAAAUCGUACCGUAACUUCGGGAGAAGGUACGCUCCUAUCUGUGAUGAGACUUGCUCUCUAAGCGGACGGGAGCCGCAGUGACCAGGUGGCUGGGACUGUUUAUUAAAAACACAGCACUGUGCAAAAUCGCAAGAUGACGUAUACGGUGUGACACCUGCCCGGUGCCGGAAGGUUAAUUGAUGGGGUUAUCCUUAGGGAGAAGCUCUUGAUCGAAGCCCCGGUAAACGGCGGCCGUAACUAUAACGGUCCUAAGGUAGCGAAAUUCCUUGUCGGGUAAGUUCCGACCUGCACGAAUGGUGUAACCAUGGCCACGCUGUCUCCACCCGAGACUCAGUGAAAUUGAAAUCGCAGUGAAGAUGCUGUGUACCCGCGGCUAGACGGAAAGACCCCGUGAACCUUUACUACAGCUUGGCACUGAACAUUGAACCUACAUGUGUAGGAUAGGUGGGAGACUUUGAAGAUGAGACGCUAGUUUUGUUGGAGUCGUCCUUGAAAUACCACCCUUGUAGUUUUGAUGUUCUAACGUUGGCCCCUGAAUCGGGGUUACGGACAGUGCCUGGUGGGUAGUUUGACUGGGGCGGUCUCCUCCCAAAGAGUAACGGAGGAGCACGAAGGUUGGCUAAGUACGGUCGGACAUCGUACGGUUAGUGUAAUGGUAGAAGCCAGCUUAACUGCGAGACAGACACGUCGAGCAGGUACGAAAGUAGGUCAUAGUGAUCCGGUGGUUCUGAAUGGAAGGGCCAUCGCUCAACGGAUAAAAGGUACUCCGGGGAUAACAGGCUGAUACCGCCCAAGAGUUCAUAUCGACGGCGGUGUUUGGCACCUCGAUGUCGGCUCAUCACAUCCUGGGGCUGAAGUCGGUCCCAAGGGUAUGGCUGUUCGCCAUUUAAAGUGGUACGCGAGCUGGGUUUAGAACGUCGUGAGACAGUUCGGUCCCUAUCUGCCGUGGGCGUUUGAGAAUUGAGAGGGGUUGCUCCUAGUACGAGAGGACCGGAGUGAACGAACCGCUGGUGUUCGGGUUGUCAUGCCAAUGGCAUUGCCCGGUAGCUACGUUCGGAACUGAUAAGCGCUGAAAGCAUCUAAGCGCGAAGCAGGCCUCGAGAUGAUUUCUCACUAGACUUUUAAAGUCUCUGAAGGGCCGUUGAAGACUACAACGUUGAUAGGCAAGAUGUGGAAGUGGUGUGAGCCAUUAAGCUAACUUGUACUAAUUACCCGUGAGGCUUAACCAU